CCUCUCCACUCCCACAUAGUUUGCUUAUUGUGUAACUGACACAGGAGUUUUAUAAGAGUGUGUCCACAGCAGAGCUGCUAACAAACAGAGGGAGAGUUCAAAUAAUCACAGACUGACUCUUGUAUCUUCAUUUAACUCAACAGCGUUUAAUCCACAAACUGUUGAAUAUACAUGACCUCGGGGCGGGGGGGGGCAGCUCGCCUCCCUACACAGGCUUAUCCAUCACAACACAAACCUUAUCGCUGUCUUAUCUGGAUGUAUUAAAGGAUCAGCUGGCCAAUCGGCGUUUUUUGUUCUGCCGUUGUUGGCUCGCGUGUGUUGCCAUUGGCUGCGUCGUGUGUCGUCAUCGAUCCUCUGGGAGCAGAGAGGCGGAGAAACGAAGCCGGAAAUCAGUUUAAAAGCAGCGUUUGGACCGUUACCUCUGUUUGUCAGUGCUGUGAGAAAACUGAAUCCCAGAGGAAGCCUGGAUGUUAAAACAGACACUGGAGCUGCUUUUUAUCAAAUAAGAGUGAGACUGGACGCUGAACACACCUGCGGGGUGAAGGUGUCACCACUUCAUCCACGAUCACAGAGACAUGGUCCAUGAUCGGAGAGACGUUGUUGAGGAUGAGGGAGACAUCGUCCACGAUCAGAGACAUUGUCCGUGAUCUCAGAGACCUUGUCAAAGAUGAGAGAGACGUUGUCCUUGAUCAGAGACAUUGUCCCAUGCUUCGUAGAGACCUUGCGAUAGAAUCGGCGGAGACGGGGGUCACCGAUUUGACGGCACUGCCCGCGAUCAUGGAGACAUUGUCGAUGGUCACAGAGACAGCGUCUAUGAUCUCAGAGACAUCGUCCACGAUCACAAAGGCACUGUCCAUGAUCAGAGACUUUGUCCAUAAUCUCAGAGACAUUGUCCGCGAUCACAGAGACGUAGUCCACGAUCACAGAGAGUGUUUGAACAAUGAAGAAGUUCUUUGAGACCAGGACAGAGGCCUCCAGGUGUCACCACUUCGUCCUCGAUCACAGAGACAUGGUCCACGAUCACAGAGACAUGGUCCAUGAUCGGAGAGACGUUGUUGAGGAUGAGGGAGACAUCGUCCACGAUCAGAGACAUUGUCCGUGAUCGCAGAGACCUUGUCAAAGAUGAGAGAGACGUUGUCCUUGAUCAGAGACAUUGUCCCAUGCUUCGUAGAGACCUUGCGAUAGAAUCGGCGGAGACGGGGGUCACCGAUUUGACGGCACUGCCCGCGAUCAUGGAGACAUUGUCGAUGGUCACAGAGACAGCGUCUAUGAUCUCAGAGACAUCGUCCACGAUCACAAAGACACUGUCCAUGAUCAGAGACUUUGUCCAUAAUCUCAGAGACAUUGUCCGCGAUCACAGAGACGUAGUCCACGAUCACAGAGAGUGUUUGAACAAUGAAGAAGUUCUUUGAGACCAGAACUGAGGCCUCCAGGUGUCACCACUUCGUCCACCACAUCGUCCACGAUCACAGAGACAUGGUCCACGAUCGCAGAGACAUGGUCCAUGAUCGGAGAGACGUUGUUGAGGAUGAGGGAGACAUUGUCCACGAUCAGAGACAUUGUCCGUGAUCGCAGAGACCUUGUCAAAGACGAGAGAGGCGUUGUCCUUGAUCAGAGACAUUGUCCCAUGCUUCGUAGAGACCUUGCGAUAGAAUCGGCGGAGACGGGGGUCACCGAUUUGACGGCACUGCCCGCGAUCAUGGAGACAUUGUCGAUGGUCACAGAGACAGCGUCUAUGAUCUCAGAGACAUCGUCCACGAUCACAAAGACACUGUCCGCGAUCACAGAGACUUUGUCCAUAAUCUCGGAGACAUUGUCCGCGAUCACAGAGACGUAGUCCAUGAUCACAGAGGGUCUUUGAACAAUGAAGAAGUUCUUUGAGACCAGGACAGAAGUCUCCAGGUGUCACCACUUCAUCCACAAUCACAGAGACAUCGUCCACUAUCACAGACAGUCGUCAUACAAUGAAGUUCUUUGAGACCAGGACAGAAGUCUCCAGGUAAUUCACAAACACUUUUAAACAACUAUCCAACACAAAGCACUGACAUUCAAUUGUUUAUGUUCAGCAUUCAGUAAAUUAGAAAAGGGUAAUAAUAGAAGUAAUCUGAAAUAAAAAAAUAAUGUUUUAGUAAACUAUUAAUAGAAGUAACAUCAAAGUAAUUAGCAAUGUCAAACGUGA
Molecule: long non-coding RNA, 2179 nt
Organism: Lates calcarifer (barramundi perch)
Lineage: Eukaryota; Metazoa; Chordata; Actinopteri; Centropomidae
Exons: 5
Source: RefSeq, a predicted model, not a curated record